GACGAACGCUGGCGGCGUGCUUAACACAUGCAAGUCGAACGGAAAGGCCCUGCUUUUGUGGGGUGCUCGAGUGGCGAACGGGUGAGUAACACGUGAGUAACCUGUCCUUGACUUUGGGAUAACUUCAGGAAACUGGGGCUAAUACCGGAUAGGAGCUCCUGCUGCAUGGUGGGGGUUGGAAAGUUUCGGCGGUUGGGGAUGGACUCGCGGCUUAUCAGCUUGUUGGUGGGGUAGUGGCUUACCAAGGCUUUGACGGGUAGCCGGCCUGAGAGGGUGACCGGCCACAUUGGGACUGAGAUGCGGCCCAGACUCCUACGGGAGGCAGCAGUGGGGAAUAUUGCACAAUGGGCGGAAGCCUGAUGCAGCAACGCCGCGUGCGGGAUGACGGCCUUCGGGUUGCAAACCGCUUUCGCCUGUGACGAAGCGUGAGUGACGGUAAUGGGUAAAGAAGCACCGGCUAACUACGUG
This 468-nucleotide ribosomal RNA is filed under the name uncultured bacterium. RNAcentral's name for it is "partial 16S ribosomal RNA". It matches the Rfam family "Bacterial small subunit ribosomal RNA", at positions 28 to 507 of the family's 1533-position model. The record is from RNAcentral.